UGCCAGCCGCCGCGGUAACACGGGGGGCGCAAGCGUUAUUCGGAAUUAUUGGGCGUAAAGGGCGCGUAGGCGGCUAUUUAAGUCAGAUGUGAAAGUCCACGGCUCAACCGUGGAAGUGCAUUUGAAACUGGAUGGCUUGAGUACUGGAGGGGGUGGUGGAAUUCCCGGUGUAGAGGUGAAAUUCGUAGAUAUCAGGAGGAACACCUGUGGCGAAGGCGGCCACCUGGACGGGUAUUGACGCUGAGACGCGAAAGCGUGGGUAGCAAACAGGAUUAGAUA
This 279-nucleotide ribosomal RNA is filed under the name uncultured bacterium. Its description in RNAcentral is "partial 16S ribosomal RNA". It matches the Rfam family "Bacterial small subunit ribosomal RNA", at positions 506 to 784 of the family's 1533-position model. The record is from RNAcentral.